CUUAUGCCUAUCCCACGCAUGCUUAAACUCCUUUACUGUGUUAAAUAAUUUAUAUCUCUGUGUACACAUUUAUUUUAUUUUACCAAUAUGGUAUUUGUAAAGGAGUUUAAGCAUGCGUGGGAUAGGCAUAUUU
Pelobates cultripes (western spadefoot toad) is the source of this 133-nucleotide non-coding RNA. Lineage: Eukaryota; Metazoa; Chordata; Amphibia; Anura; Pelobatidae. The record is from the annotation of a GenBank genome assembly.